UCGUGACAGACCUUGAUCCUGAUAACACCGAUGUGAAAUUGGUGUAAGUUUUCCUGGCCAUGUCCAGCUUGGGUGUGCCAGGAGGAGGUGGUGGCAGUGGUUUCGGUGGCGGCGGCUAUGGAGGUGAUGUGAAAUAAACAUAAUUUUAAUAAAUUACAUUAAAAACGUU
This is a long non-coding RNA of Homarus americanus (American lobster), 169 nucleotides long. RefSeq lists it as uncharacterized. The record is from RefSeq and is a predicted model, not a curated record. Lineage: Eukaryota; Metazoa; Arthropoda; Malacostraca; Decapoda; Nephropidae. The transcript is spliced from 2 exons.